GACGAACGCUGGCGGCGUGCUUAACACAUGCAAGUCGAACGGAAAGGCCCUGCUUUUGUGGGGUGCUCGAGUGGCGAACGGGUGAGUAACACGUGAGUAACCUGCCCUUGACUUUGGGAUAACUUCAGGAAACUGGGGCUAAUACCGGAUAGGAGCUCCUGCUGCAUGGUGGGGGUUGGAAAGUUUCGGCGGUUGGGGAUGGACUCGCGGCUUAUCAGCUUGUUGGUGGGGUAGUGGCUUACCAAGGCUUUGACGGGUAGCCGGCCUGAGAGGGUGACCGGCCACAUGGGGACUGAGAUACGGCCCAGACUCCUACGGGAGGCAGCAGUGGGAAUAUUGCACAAUGGGCGGAAGCCUGAUGCAGCAACGCCGCGUGCGGGAUGACGGCCUUCGGGUUGUAAACCGCUUUCGCCUGUGACGAAGCGUGAGUGACGGUAAUGGGUAAAGAAGCACCGGCUAACUACGUG
RNAcentral lists this ribosomal RNA (467 nucleotides) under uncultured bacterium. RNAcentral's name for it is "partial 16S ribosomal RNA". It matches the Rfam family "Bacterial small subunit ribosomal RNA", at positions 28 to 507 of the family's 1533-position model. The record is from RNAcentral.